RNAcentral lists this ribosomal RNA (897 nucleotides) under uncultured bacterium. RNAcentral describes it as "bacterial SSU rRNA". It matches the Rfam family "Bacterial small subunit ribosomal RNA", at positions 8 to 916 of the family's 1533-position model. The record is from RNAcentral.
AGAGUUUGAUCAUGGCUCAGGACGAACGCUGGCGGCGUGCUUAAUACAUGCAAGUUGAGCGGAGCCAUUGAUGAAGCUUGCGAUUCAAUGGUCGAGCGGCGGACGGGUGAGUAACGCGUGGGCAACCUGCCCUCUAGUCUGGGAUAACAGUUCGAAAGGGCUGCUAACACCGGAUAAGCUCACGGAGAGGCAUCUUUCAGUGAGAAAAGUUUACGCUAGAGGAUGGGCCCGCGUCCCAUUAGCUAGUUGGUGAGGUAACGGCUCACCAAGGCGCCGAUGGGUAGCCGACCUGAGAGGGUGACCGGCCACACUGGGACUGAGACACGGCCCAGACUCCUACGGGAGGCAGCAGUAGGGAAUUUUCCGCAAUGGGCGAAAGCCUGACGGAGCAACGCCGCGUGAGGGAAGAAGGUCUUCGGAUCGUAAACCUCUGUCUUCAGGGACGAUGAUGACGGUACCUGAGGAGGAAGCCACGGCUAACUACGUGCCAGCAGCCGCGGUAAUACGUAGGUGGCGAGCGUUGUCCGGAAUUACUGGGCGUAAAGGGCGUGUAGGCGGCCAUUUAAGUCAGAUGUGAAAUACCAUGGCUUAACCAUGGGACUGCAUUUGAGACUGGAUGGCUUGAGGAUCGGAGAGGGCAGUGGAAUUCCCAGUGUAGCGGUGAAAUGCGUAGAUAUUGGGAGGAACACCAGUGGCGAAGGCGACUGCCUGGACGACACCUGACGCUGAGGCGCGAAAGCUAGGGGAGCAAACGGGAUUAGAUACCCCGGUAGUCCUAGCCGUAAACGAUGGGUACUAGGUGUGGGAGGUAUCGACCCCUUCCGUGCCGCAGUUAACACAAUAAGUACCCCGCCUGGGGAGUACGGCCGCAAGGUUGAAACUUAAAUGAAUUGACGG